CCAUUAGUUGCUACGAAGGGACGACCUCUAAUGGGACUGCCGGUGACAAACCGGAGGAAGGUGGGGAUGACGUCAAGUCCUCAUGGCCCUUAUAGGUGGGGCUACACACGUCAUACAAUGGCCGGUACAGAGGGUAGCCAACCCGCGAGGGGGAGCCAAUCCCACAAAGCCGGUCGUAGUCCGGAUCGCAGUCUGCAACUCGACUGCGUGAAGUCGGAAUCGCUAGUAAUCGCGGAUCAGCAUGUCGCGGUGAAUACGUUCCCGGGUCUU
This 270-nucleotide ribosomal RNA is filed under the name uncultured Allobrachymonas sp. Its description in RNAcentral is "uncultured Brachymonas sp. partial 16S ribosomal RNA". It matches the Rfam family "Bacterial small subunit ribosomal RNA", at positions 1108 to 1382 of the family's 1533-position model. The record is from RNAcentral. Lineage: Bacteria; Pseudomonadati; Pseudomonadota; Betaproteobacteria; Burkholderiales; Comamonadaceae.